Molecule: ribosomal RNA, 300 nt
Filed under: uncultured Aquifex sp.
Lineage: Bacteria; Pseudomonadati; Aquificota; Aquificia; Aquificales; Aquificaceae
Description: bacterial SSU rRNA
Rfam family: Bacterial small subunit ribosomal RNA
Source: RNAcentral
GGUAAACUGUGGGCCAGGAGCCGCGUGAAUACAGAGACGGCAAGCGUUGUUCGGGUUCAUGGGGCGUAAAGGGGGCGUAGGCGGGCGGCUAAGUCGGAUGUGAAAUCUCACAGCCUAACUGUGAGCGGUCAUUCGAAACUGGCUGGCUUGAGGACUGGAGAGGAGACUGGAAUGGUCGGUGUAGCGGUGAAAUGCGUAGAGAUCGACCAGAACACCGGUGGCGAAGGCGGGUCUCUGGACAGUUCCUGACGCUGAGGCACGAAAGCCAGGGGAGCAAACGGGAUUAGAUACCCCGGAGUC